AAAAAACAACUCUCUCUCUUCCUCUCAGAGCAAACACAAGCUCUGCAAACUUCUAAACACCUCUGACUUCAACCUACCGGAGAAGAUGGCGGUUGCCGGCCAACGGCGGCGGCGCCACCUUCUUCUCCGGCGAACCACCACUUAAAACCUAAAUCUCAAAUACCAACUCCCCUUUAUUCACGCUCGCGGUUGCGGAUCCGGCCACAAAAACAACAAAGUCCCAACCACAAACCC
RNAcentral lists this long non-coding RNA (234 nucleotides) under Lathyrus oleraceus (garden pea). RNAcentral describes it as "Pisum sativum (pea) long non-coding RNA (PSAT_LNC037068)". The record is from RNAcentral. Lineage: Eukaryota; Viridiplantae; Streptophyta; Magnoliopsida; Fabales; Fabaceae.